UCCUCGGUAGUAUAGUGGUUAGUAUCCCCGCCUGUCACGCGGGAGACCAGGAGUUCGAUUUUCGGGGAG
Molecule: transfer RNA, 69 nt
Filed under: Trichonephila inaurata madagascariensis
Lineage: Eukaryota; Metazoa; Arthropoda; Arachnida; Araneae; Nephilidae
Description: tRNA-Asp
Source: RNAcentral